RNAcentral lists this long non-coding RNA (545 nucleotides) under Bos indicus x Bos taurus (hybrid cattle). Its description in RNAcentral is "lncRNA (ENSBIXG00005014415.1)". Lineage: Eukaryota; Metazoa; Chordata; Mammalia; Artiodactyla; Bovidae. The record is from RNAcentral.
UCACAAGCUCUUUCGGCAGAUGACAGAUGAUAUUGUUCUUCCAUCCUUCUUCAGUCAGAAUUAAGGGAGGAAGGGGAGAAAAAACUAUUGUAGAGCCUCUCCACUCUGCGACACGAUUUUUAUAAUUAAUAUAUACAACUGAGCAGAGAAAGACAUAUAAUGCUUCAUUAAAAGGACAGCAACAGUCACUGAGAAUCCCAUACAGCUCUUUCAGCCUAUGAGCAGAAGUGGAAUAUAUAGAGAGCAAGAUUUAAAGAAACAGAGACAGUUACUUGGAUCCAAAAGUGCAUCCUGGGAUCAUCCUGACAAACUUCAACUAUCUUCUUUUUAAGGAGUUCAGAGGGACUAGAUUAUCAACAUAACUGUUUAAAUCAAACCAAACCAGAACCAGUGAAGAUGAAGCUCUCCUUUCAGUAGAAUCCUGAACAGAGAAGAAUGAAAAAAAAGCCGGGGCAAGGAUGCCUGACUCACAGGCUCAAUGCCUGGGUGAAGCCAGACUGAGUUCCCUGGUCUGGAUAAUGGGGGCACCACUCAGGCUCUGGGAA